This 291-nucleotide ribosomal RNA is filed under the name uncultured bacterium. Its description in RNAcentral is "partial 16S ribosomal RNA". It matches the Rfam family "Bacterial small subunit ribosomal RNA", at positions 28 to 320 of the family's 1533-position model. The record is from RNAcentral.
GACGAACGCUGGCGGCGUGCUUAACACAUGCAAGUCGAGCGGUAAGGCCCUUUCGGGGGUACACGAGCGGCGAACGGGUGAGUAACACGUGGGUGACCUGCCCUCAGCUCUGGGAUAAGCCUGGGAAACCGGGUCUAAUACUGGAUAUGACUCCAUGACGCAUGUUGUGGGGUGGAAAGCCUUGUGCGGCUGAGGAUGGGCCCGCGGCCUAUCAGCUUGUUGGUGGGGUAANGGCCUACCAAGGCGACGACGGGUAGCCGGCCUGAGAGGGCGACCGGCCACACUGGGACU